RNAcentral lists this ribosomal RNA (381 nucleotides) under uncultured bacterium. RNAcentral describes it as "bacterial SSU rRNA". It matches the Rfam family "Bacterial small subunit ribosomal RNA", at positions 524 to 904 of the family's 1533-position model. The record is from RNAcentral.
UACGAAGGGGGCUAGCGUUGCUCGGAAUUACUGGGCGUAAAGGGAGCGUAGGCGGACUGUUAAGUUGGAGGUGAAAGCCCAGGGCUCAACCUUGGAAUUGCCUUUGAUACUGGCAGUCUUGAGUACGGAAGAGGUAUGUGGAACUCCGAGUGUAGAGGUGAAAUUCGUAGAUAUUCGGAAGAACACCAGUGGCGAAGGCGACAUACUGGUCCGUUACUGACGCUGAGGCUCGAAAGCGUGGGGGAGCAAACAGGAUUAGAUACCCUGGUAGUCCACGCCGUAAACGAUGAGUGCUAGUUGUCGGCAUGCAUGCAUGUCGGUGACGCAGCUAACGCAUUAAGCACUCCGCCUGGGGAGUACGGUCGCAAGAUUAAAACUCAA